UACAGAGGUGUCAAGCGUUGCUCGGGAUCACUGGGCUUAAAGGGCGCGUAGGCUGUGCGGUACGGUUCGGGUGAAAUCCCUCGGCUCAACCGAGGAACUGCCCGGGCGACGGCCGCGCUGGACUGCAUUAGGGGACGAUGGAACUCCCGGUGGAGCGGUGAAAUGCGUAGAUAUCGGGAGGAACGCCGGUGGCGAAAGCGAUCGUCUGGAGUGCAUGUGACGCUGAGGCGCGAAAGCUAGGGGAGCAAACGGG
RNAcentral lists this ribosomal RNA (253 nucleotides) under uncultured bacterium. RNAcentral describes it as "partial 16S ribosomal RNA". It matches the Rfam family "Bacterial small subunit ribosomal RNA", at positions 524 to 776 of the family's 1533-position model. The record is from RNAcentral.